CCUCCUUUCUUCCGCCGUGCGGCCUCUUGGUCCCUGGCCGCCCGUCUGCCCCAGCCAUGCCGCGUGCAGGAUGACGGCUCUCUGAGUUGUAAACUGCUUUUGUACGAGGGUAAACCCCGAUACGUGAAUCGGGGUGAAAGUAUCGUACGUAUAAGGAUAGGCUAACUCAGUGCCAGCAGCCGCGGUACUACGGAGGAUCCGAGCGUUAUCCGGAUUUAUUGGGUUUAAAGGGUGCGUAGGCGGUUUGAUAAGUUAGAGGUGAAAUGUCGGGGCUCAACCCCGAAACUGCCUCUAAUACUGUUGGACUAGAGAAUAGUUGCGGUAGGCGGAAUGUAUGGUGUAGCGGUGAAAUGCUUAGAGAUCAUACAGAACACCGAUGGCGAAGGCAGCUUACCAAACUAUAUCUGACGUUGAGGAACGAAAGCGUGGGUAGCAAACAGGAUUAGAUACCCCAGUAGUC
This 460-nucleotide ribosomal RNA is filed under the name uncultured bacterium. RNAcentral's name for it is "partial 16S ribosomal RNA". It matches the Rfam family "Bacterial small subunit ribosomal RNA", at positions 338 to 795 of the family's 1533-position model. The record is from RNAcentral.